UACGGAGGGUGCGAGCGUUGUCCGGAAUCAUUGGGCGUAAAGGGCGCGUAGGUGGCGGGACAAGCGUGCGGUGAAAGCCUGGGGCUCAACCCCGGGUCGGCCGUGCGAACUGUUUUGCUUGAGCACUGUAGAGGCAGGCGGAAUUCCGGGUGUAGCGGUGGAAUGCGUAGAGAUCCGGAAGAACACCGGUGGCGAAGGCGGCCUGCUGGGUUCUGGCUGACACUGAGGCGCGACAGCGUGGGGAGCAAACAGG
This 253-nucleotide ribosomal RNA is filed under the name uncultured bacterium. RNAcentral describes it as "partial 16S ribosomal RNA". It matches the Rfam family "Bacterial small subunit ribosomal RNA", at positions 524 to 776 of the family's 1533-position model. The record is from RNAcentral.